This is a long non-coding RNA of Alligator sinensis (Chinese alligator), 1128 nucleotides long. RefSeq lists it as uncharacterized. The record is from RefSeq and is a predicted model, not a curated record. The transcript is spliced from 3 exons. NCBI's taxonomy places the organism in Eukaryota, Metazoa, Chordata, Crocodylia, Alligatoridae.
UUCAAUGUGCUGGCUCUGCUCGGAUUUCUACGGGCUUUAAAGAAUCCCCUUCGUGGAAGGUGGACCCGAUUCCAGUCGCCGCCUCUCCGAAUAGAGGAGAAACUGCCUUGCCACAGACCAGAGCGCAGAGCACCGUGUGAAAAGCCUGAACAUCUUCGCCUAGGCUUGCAGGAGCACUGAGCUAUUUUACUUUUGCUUGUAGCUGGUGAUAGGCUGCUCUUGCCCUUUGGAAGCAGACUGCGCAACGCCUCCCAUCAUAGGCCCUGUUGGCAGUGGCUUGCAAUCCUGCUAACCUGUUUUGGGAUCAUUUUUCCUUGUGGCAGGUGCCUCCCUAGCUCCGCAGUUCUGGGAGAGCUAAACCAUCCCAUACAGACAAAAAGGCUGCAUGAGCACCAGGCGCAAAAGGGGAGUAGGUGCCGAAAUCUCAUCCUCUCCCCAGCUGGACCCUUCUUUGGAAGUACAGAAGCCUCGAUCAAGGGACUGAAAACACUGGUUUCUAAUAGGAAGGACCGCCAGCAUCUCUCGUGCAAGACGAGGCUGGCCCUAGCAGCACGCCGUGGCACGGAGAUCCCCUCUCAGUGAAACUCCUCCUCCCCUUGGCAGCGUCAUAGCAGAACCUGUCGAACCAGCUGUGCAGCAGGAUUAAAAUGCACACGAGCCCUCUCUCCAUUUUGCAAUCUCUGCUGCCCUCGUGUGCAGUGAAGCAGUAAUGAAACCUUGUCCAAAUUCAGUCGGAUGCACUGAGUAAGACGCCUUUCCUGUCUGUUUUUUGGUGCAGGCCUUGGCCGGUUCUCCGGGCUCUGAUGUCCCCCUCUCAGAGGCAAAGCUGCAGAUUUGGCCAAUUGUACAGGAGAAGCAGAGAGAAGCUGCCCUCCAUCUUAUCACGUUCUCAAGCUCCAGGCAGUGCGCGCAAUAUGGCACAGUAUGCGAAACACUCCCCAUUGUCUCUUCUCUAACUACCUCCCUCGCCUUUGUGGUUUAGCUUGUGGACAGCCCUUCUUGCUGUGCACUUCCCUGUUGCCAACUCCCGUGAAAAAAUGUGCAUCCUUGUGCAGUACUGCAAGUAAAUGCUGUGGCUGUUGCAAAGACCACAGAGAUCCUGUUGUAUAUAAUGGCCAAUAAAAUUUA